RNAcentral lists this long non-coding RNA (550 nucleotides) under Setaria italica (foxtail millet). RNAcentral's name for it is "long non-coding RNA (SITA_LNC003217)". Lineage: Eukaryota; Viridiplantae; Streptophyta; Magnoliopsida; Poales; Poaceae. The record is from RNAcentral.
UAGGCCAUGAAUCAUGCACACAUCACGUCUCGCUUCCACUACAACACAACAGGCAGCAAUGCUCUAGUGGAACUUGAGGCUGGUGAGGACGUUGUUGUUGACGGGGUCGGCGAGGUGGUCGAGCAGGUUCUGGAAGGGGCCGACGCCGGUGACGAGCCCCUGGAUGAAGUACCCGAGGAUGGCGAGCAUGGCGAGCCUGCCGUUCUUGAUCUCCUUGAGCUUGAGCUCCUUCAUCUCCUUCUCGGUCUUUCCGAACCCGAGCGGGUUGAAGAGCGGGCCGCCGGGGUAGGACGGGUCGCCGGAGCCGGCGAGGAACUUCUCGAGGCCGAGGAAGUACUGCUUGCCCAUGGAGCCCGGGUUGUACCAGUCCUGGAGGCGGCGGUGCUCGGCGAAGCCCAUGAGCGCCAUGUUGAAGACGAAGAGCGUGUAGGAGUCGGCCCAGUAGUUGUAGGUGCCCGCCGGCGGGAUGACCCCCGUCUUGAACCACGGCAGCGCCGUCUCCGGCGGGAUGAGGCCCAGCUUGCCGAAGACCUCCGGAGCGAUGGCGCCC